RNAcentral lists this transfer RNA (73 nucleotides) under Marmota monax (woodchuck). It matches the Rfam family "tRNA". From Rfam's summary of the family: Transfer RNA (tRNA) molecules are approximately 80 nucleotides in length. Their secondary structure includes four short double-helical elements and three loops (D, anti-codon, and T loops). Lineage: Eukaryota; Metazoa; Chordata; Mammalia; Rodentia; Sciuridae. The record is from Rfam by way of RNAcentral.
GGAGAUGUGGCUCAGUGAUAGAGCACUCGCCUAGCACCUGGGUGUGAGACCCUGGGUUCAAUCCUCAGCACCA